This 513-nucleotide ribosomal RNA is filed under the name uncultured bacterium. Its description in RNAcentral is "partial 16S ribosomal RNA". It matches the Rfam family "Bacterial small subunit ribosomal RNA", at positions 28 to 523 of the family's 1533-position model. The record is from RNAcentral.
GAUGAACGCUGGCGGCGUGCCGAAUUCAUGCAAGUCGAGCGAACGGAUAAGGAGCUUGCGCCUUUGAAGUUAGCGGCGGGCGGGGGAGUAACACGUGGGUAACCUACCUAUAAGACUGGAAUAACUUCGGGAAACCGGAGGUAAUGCCGGAUAACAUUUGGAACUGCAUUGUUCUAAAGUAAAAGAUGGUUUUUAUAUCACGUAUAUAUGGACUCGCGCCGUAUUAGCUAGUUGGUAAGAUAACGGCUUACCAAGGCAACGAUACGUAGCCGACCUGAGAGGGUGAUCGGCCACACAGGAACUGAGACACGGUCCAGACUCCUACGGGAGGCAGCAGUAGGGAAUCUUCCGCAAUGGACGAAAGUCUGACGGAGCAACGCCGCGUGAGUGAUGAAGGUUUUCGGAUCGUAAAACUCUGUUAUUAGGGAAGAACAAAUGUGUAAGUAACUGUGCACAUCUUGACGGUACCUAAUCAGAAAGCCACGGCUAACUACGUGCCAGCAGCCGCUGUAA